UACUCUCCCCAACCUUGUUUUUACAAUUUUAUUUGUUUCAGUCUUGCUUUGUGCAUCAUUAUUUUGAGGUAAUUGUUCCUUUUCUUCAUGAUUGGUUACAAAGCUCUGUUCUGAGCUUUGUUUUUCAGUAUGUGCCUUUUUUUCUUGAUUAUUGAUGAGUAGUUGGUUUUGAUUCUUAUUAGAGUGAUUGUUUUCAAAAUCCUCUGAGAUAUGUGAUUUUUCUUUUUCAGUUGAGGACUGGUCAGACUGAUUAUUUUCAGUUAUCUCUGACUUGUCCAGAGCAAUCCUGUUUUGAUUUUUCUGAAAUCCAGGAUGUUCUAUAGUUUGUUCUGUGGUUCCUAGAGUGUUCUGUGUUUUGG
Molecule: long non-coding RNA, 359 nt
Filed under: Zostera marina
Lineage: Eukaryota; Viridiplantae; Streptophyta; Magnoliopsida; Alismatales; Zosteraceae
Description: long non-coding RNA (ZMAR_LNC003828)
Source: RNAcentral